Molecule: long non-coding RNA, 1785 nt
Organism: Aethalodelphis obliquidens (Pacific white-sided dolphin)
Lineage: Eukaryota; Metazoa; Chordata; Mammalia; Artiodactyla; Delphinidae
Exons: 2
Source: RefSeq, a predicted model, not a curated record
ACCGGGGCACAAACCCGUGACCCCUGCAUCGGCAGGCGGACUCUCAACCACUGCGACACCAGGGAAGCCCAGUAAGACUCUUGAAGAAGGUAAACAGGUGGCACAUCAGAUGCCAGAGUUAACUGACAAAGACAGUGACCACGAAAGACAGGGCCCAGAGGCUCCUUUAAAUCCCGACUGUCUCAGUAUCUCCCAUAUGGAGCCCUGGGUGAUUAUGGCAGGGGGCCACUUACUCGGUUUAAAAUACAAAACUUACUAAAUUUUGUUCUGUGUCUUAUGUUAGCAACUGGGGUGUCCGGAGAAACCCUGAAAAAGCCUUUUCUCCAGCUGCUAGACUCUCAGGUGGAGGAGGGCCCAUCUGAAGCAUAGCUUUCUGGACAAGCCUGAAUGCCCCAGUCCCCUUCCGGGAUGAGAUUUACCAACUAAAUGCCAAGGUUACCUUUGCACCUGGAGGAGUGGACACCACAAUUCCACCAGAGCAGCUUGUACAUCGCAGGCUCUAUUGCUCCGACCUCAAAGGGAACAGCCGGCAGCCAUUCUGGAAGAGGUACUGCAGAAGAAAUCCUGGCGAAAUAUUUGAAGGCCCUUCAACUAAACGAGGGAGCCCUGUUCCAGUAUGUGGAUGGUAUCGUUCUGAUUGCCAGUAAAACAAAGGACACCUGAGGCCAGAAUGCAGUUUUGAUUUUGAACUUUAUGACUGAAUGAAGCUAUAAGGUGUCCAAGAAAAGGGCGUAGUUCUCUGCCCUCUGUUAAAUACUUGGGUUUUGAACUCUCAUAAGGACAGAGAGACUUGCUCCCUGACAGAAGGGACGCUCUAGCCGGGGUUGCAGUUUCCACUAUCAGGAGGCAAUUGUGGGGAUUCCGGGGAAUAGCUGGGUUCUGCUGCAUUUCGAUCCCCAACUUUGGAUUCGUGGCAAAACCAUGUUAGGAAGCUCUUGGAGGAGAUGACCCUCUAGACUGAAAUCUUGGAAGAGUAAACAUCCGGAAGACCAGCUUCAUUGUCCCUAGACUGGACCUUGUGUGGAACGUGAUGGGAAAUGGAAACCAUACUGCAGAGGAGAACUGUCGACCGAGAUCGUCCAAGCCUUGGCUGGCUCCAGACCCCCUACACUGACCUCUCCCAGUGGGCAGGUGAACCCCUAACAGAUCUUAAGCGGCUUUUCAGAAAGAAGCCAGAAAAAGAAAUUAAGGCUUGCAAGGACAAUUCAAUGAUUAGGACUUCUCAUACUUGGGCAAAAGCAGGUACUCUCUCUAGCUGUUGGAUAUUUCAUCCAAAACCUUUUUCUGUAUUUGAUCAUGCUGACCCCUUGAUCCUGCCUGUCAUUAAUUUUUAUUUUUUUAAUUAUUUGUUUUGGCUGCACCAGGAGGCAUGUGGGAUCUUAGUUUCCCAACCAGGGAUUGAAACUGAGCCCCCUGCAUGGGAAGCAUGAAGUCUUAACCACUGGACCACCAGGGAAGUACCUGUCAUUAAUUUUUUGACUGUCCCUAACCUCACUGUAACAUAUCAGAUUAGGCUACUCAACAGAAUUUCCUGUCGUGUUUUUCCUUGUCUAAGGUGAAAUUUGGUCCUUGGGACCUCAGAUGUAAAAAAAAAAAAAGACUGUAGUCUACCCCGGUCAAGGUUAUAUUAGGUGAGGACAGAAAACAUACUUAUUUUUCCCCAGCCUGUGUUCCUUCCAUAUUUAAGUGUUUCAGCCAAACUGAUAAUGAUUGGGACUCUCCAAUAUGUAAAAAGGUAAGAUACUGAUAACUGGCUUGACCUUGUCCUAGAUAAAAUCCCUAAAA